This 271-nucleotide ribosomal RNA is filed under the name uncultured archaeon. RNAcentral's name for it is "partial 16S ribosomal RNA". It matches the Rfam family "Archaeal small subunit ribosomal RNA", at positions 477 to 747 of the family's 1478-position model. The record is from RNAcentral.
CAGCGUCACGAGUGGCAAUCGUAUUUAUUGGGCCUAAAGCGUCCGUAGCCUGUUUAAUAAGUUUUUUGUGAAAUCGUUGCGCUUAACGUAACGUUGUGCAAAAAAUACUGUCAGACUUGGAACUGGGAAGAGCUAGAGGUAUUCUGGGGGGAGCGGUAAAAUGCUAUAAUCCUCGGAGGACCACCAGUGGCGAAGGCGUCUAGCUAGAACAGAUUCGACGGUGAGGGACGAAAGCCAGGGGAGCACAACGGAUUAGAUACCCGAGUAGUCC